This 497-nucleotide ribosomal RNA is filed under the name uncultured bacterium. RNAcentral describes it as "partial 16S ribosomal RNA". It matches the Rfam family "Bacterial small subunit ribosomal RNA", at positions 28 to 507 of the family's 1533-position model. The record is from RNAcentral.
GAUGAACGCUGGCUGCUUGCCUAAUACAUGCAAGUCGAGCGAACAGACGAGGAGCUUUCUCCUCUGACGUUAGCGGCGGACGGGUGAGUAACACGUGGAUAACCUACCUAUAAGACUGGGAUAACUUCGGGAAACCGGAGCUAAUACCGGAUAAUAUAUUGAACCGCAUGGUUCAAUAGUGAAAGACGGUUUUGCUGUCACUUAUAGAUGGAUCCGCGCCGCAUUAGCUAGUUGGUAAGGUAACGGCUUACCAAGGCAACGAUGCGUAGCCGACCUGAGAGGGUGAUCGGCCACACUGGAACUGAGACACGGUCCAGACUCCUACGGGAGGCAGCAGUAGGGAAUCUUCCGCAAUGGGCGAAAGCCUGACGGAGCAACGCCGCGUGAGUGAUGAAGGUCUUCGGAUCGUAAAACUCUGUUAUUAGGGAAGAACAAAUGUGUAAGUAACUAUGCACGUCUUGACGGUACCUAAUCAGAAAGCCACGGCUAACUACGUG